AACGAACGCUGGCGGCAUGCCUAACACAUGCAAGUCGAACGAGACCUUCGGGUCUAGUGGCGCACGGGUGCGUAACGCGUGGGAACCUGCCCUUAGGUUCGGAAUAACUCCCCGAAAGGGGUGCUAAUACCAGAUAAUGUCUUCGGACCAAAGAUUUAUCGCCUUUGGAUGGGCCCGCGUUGGUUUAGCUAGUUGGUAGGGUAAAAGCCUACCAAGGCGACGAUCCAUAGCUGGUCUGAGAGGAUGAUCAGCCACACUGGGACUGAGACACGGCCCAGACUCCUACGGGAGGCAGCAGUGGGGAAUAUUGGACAAUGGGCGAAAGCCUGAUCCAGCAAUGCCGCGUGAGUGAUGAAGGCCUUAGGGUUGUAAAGCUCUUUUACCCGGGAUGAUAAUGACAGUACCGGGAGAAUAAGCUCCGGCUAACUCCGUG
Molecule: ribosomal RNA, 433 nt
Filed under: uncultured bacterium
Lineage: Bacteria
Description: partial 16S ribosomal RNA
Rfam family: Bacterial small subunit ribosomal RNA
Source: RNAcentral